RNAcentral lists this ribosomal RNA (273 nucleotides) under Triticum aestivum (bread wheat). Its description in RNAcentral is "partial small subunit ribosomal RNA". Lineage: Eukaryota; Viridiplantae; Streptophyta; Magnoliopsida; Poales; Poaceae. The record is from RNAcentral.
AUGUCGUGGACUUCAGGGGCUUCUUCCGCUCCCGACUUCCGUCGCGCCAGUGGAAGGAGGGACACAGACUCGAGGUCUCGUGUGGCUUACAGGGAGAGUCCAAUGGCGUACGAGCCGCCAAAGUUGUGCCACUGCAGUCAGCCACGGAAGGCACCGAGAUGGAUCUCGUGGAGCCGCCAAAACCCCGGCAUGAGGUACUACGCCUGUGUGGAUGCAAUUGUGAGCCCCAUUUUCUGUGCUCAUGUCCUUCUGCUGCUCAUUUCUUGCUCUUAG